Molecule: ribosomal RNA, 253 nt
Filed under: uncultured bacterium
Lineage: Bacteria
Description: partial 16S ribosomal RNA
Rfam family: Bacterial small subunit ribosomal RNA
Source: RNAcentral
UACAUGUGGGGCGAGCGUUGUUCGGAAUUACUGGGCAUAAAGGGUGCGUAGGCGGCUUGUUAAGUCAGGGGUGAAAGUUUUCGGCCCAACCGGAAAAUGGCCUUUGAUACUGGCGAGCUGGAGUGCGUGAGGGGUGACCGGAACGAGUGGUGUAGCGGUGAAAUGCGUAGAGAUCACUCGGAAGGCCAAAGGCGAAGGCAGGUCACUGGUGCGCAACUGACGCUGAGGCACGAAAGCGUGGGGAGCAAACAGG